GCAGUAGCCGCGGGAAUACGGAGGGUGCAAGCGUUAUCCGGAUUUAUUGGGUUUAAAGGGUCCGUAGGCGGAUCUGUAAGUCAGUGGUGAAAUCUCACAGCUUAACUGUGAAACUGCCAUUGAUACUGCAGGUCUUGAGUAAAUUUGAAGUGGCUGGAAUAAGUAGUGUAGCGGUGAAAUGCAUAGAUAUUACUUAGAACACCAAUUGCGAAGGCAGGUCACUAAGAUUUAACUGACGCUGAUGGACGAAAGCGUGGGGAGCGAACAGGAUUAGAUACCCGCGUAGUCCCUGUCUCUUAUAC
Molecule: ribosomal RNA, 302 nt
Filed under: uncultured bacterium
Lineage: Bacteria
Description: partial 16S ribosomal RNA
Rfam family: Bacterial small subunit ribosomal RNA
Source: RNAcentral